RNAcentral lists this ribosomal RNA (484 nucleotides) under uncultured bacterium. Its description in RNAcentral is "partial 16S ribosomal RNA". It matches the Rfam family "Bacterial small subunit ribosomal RNA", at positions 30 to 507 of the family's 1533-position model. The record is from RNAcentral.
AUUGAACGCUGGCGGCAGGCCUAACACAUGCAAGUCGAGCGGAUGAAGGGUGCUUGCUCCUGGAUUCAGCGGCGGACGGGUGUGUAAUGCCUAUGAAUCUGCCUGGUAGUGGGGGAUAACGUCCUGAAACGGGCGCCAAUACCGCAUACGUCCUGAGGGAGAAAGUGGGGGAUCUUCGGACCUCACGCUAUCAGAUGAGCCUAGGUCGGAUUAGCUAGUUGGUGGGGUAAGGGCCUACCAAGGCGACGAUCCGUAACUGGUCUGAGAGGAUGAUCAGUCACACUGGAACUGAGCCACGGUCCAGACUCCUACGGGAGGCAGCAGUGGGGAAUAUUGGACAAUGGGCGAAAGCCUGAUCCAGCCAGGCCGCGUGUGUGAAGAAGGUCUUCGGAUUGUAAAGCACGUUAAGUUGGGAGGAAGGGCAGUAAGUUAAUACCUUGCUGUUUUGACGGUAACAACAGAAUAAGCACCGGCUAACUUCGUG